RNAcentral lists this ribosomal RNA (206 nucleotides) under uncultured bacterium. Its description in RNAcentral is "partial 16S ribosomal RNA". It matches the Rfam family "Bacterial small subunit ribosomal RNA", at positions 568 to 774 of the family's 1533-position model. The record is from RNAcentral.
UGCGUAGGCUGUGUUGUAAGUCAGAUGUGAAAAACCAAAGCUCAACUUUGGCAGUGCAUCUGAAACUGCAGCACUCGAGGGACAGCGGAGAAAACGGAAUUCCACGUGUAGCGGUGAAAUGCGUAGAUAUGUGGAAGAACACCUGUGGCGAAAGCGGUUUCUAGCUUAAUCCUGACGCUGAGGCACGAAAGCAAGGGGAGCAAACA